UGCAGAGCUGCCUGGUGACAGGGCUGGUCUGCAAGAGCAGGGAUUUCUCUGGAGCUGGGAGGGGCUGGGAUUGCUUUGUGGGGACCAGGCUGAGCUCUCCUGGCACCAAGCUCCCUGUUCCGGUCCAGUGCUCACCCUCUGCUCUGCCUGCUUCAUCGUGCGAAUGAGGUCUUGACUACAGAGAUGUGCAUUUCCAUCUCUUCCUCGUUGUAAAGGACAGAGGAAAAAUGUCUGCAGAAGAGCAAAGUGCAUGAUCUCGUUAGGACAAAAUGGUAUAAACUAUUGCUUGGAGGAAAGAAGCUGGCACUGUGAGUGAACUCACCACACAAAAAGUAUGGAAAUAGAUCCCCUUCAUCACGUAUUUGUUCCCAGUGAUGCCGAGGUCCACGUCCACCCGGCCACAGAACACACAUGCUGGCUCUCCUGAGCUGGCAGCCUUCUGUGUCCCGUCGGCCAUCGUGUGCUUCAACAGUGAGCACUCGCAGAGUGUCUAUCCCAGCAAUACCAGGCUUCGUCCUCUGCGUGCCAACCUAUGGAGAAGCGGGACAAGGCUGAGUUGGCAGCUCAGGCCCCGAGUGAUGGGGAAACCGGCCUCUGUCAGCAGCCUCAGGCAGCCCCUUCCUCCCCUGCUCACCUCACAAGUCACACUGAGCUCGGACUGAGCCCCGCAGCCUCUUGUCUAUUCCUCAGCCCAUGUGUCACAAUGGGGGUUCCACCCCCCUGUGGAACCAACAUACCCUCACAGGGCUGAGGGCACCCAAGCAGCGGGAAGGCAGCCUUUGCAGCAGCGCACAGUGAGGGGCCCGGUGCCGGACACAGCCCUGCUGGAACCCGGCGUGUUGGUGCUGCCGAAGGCACUGGGCGGCACACAUCCACCAUCCUGGCCCCACCCUGACGCUACGGGGCCUGUGGCUCCAGCAGUUUCCCAGUUGAGCAUUUACAUGUUGCCGUGAUGUUCUCCAGGCUCUGCUUGUGGGCUGUUGGCCUCUGAUAGUUUACCUUCUCUUUCCAAUAAACGACUCACAGAAUCACA
RNAcentral lists this long non-coding RNA (1033 nucleotides) under Coturnix japonica (Japanese quail). RNAcentral describes it as "lncRNA (ENSCJPG00005000959.1)". Lineage: Eukaryota; Metazoa; Chordata; Aves; Galliformes; Phasianidae. The record is from RNAcentral.